CCUUGUGAGGAGUCUUGGGGACCUUUCUGGAAGGCUUAGGCGGCGUCGAACCUUCGUUACUACUUCCACUGUCCUGCCUCAGAAUCGACGGCGAGUACGGAGAAUUAGGCCCACCGGAAUGAUCCUUCUUAAAUCUAAGCAUAUUUGGACUUCCCAAACCACCUGCAGGGGAAGAAGAGGCGAAAUCAGAUCCGAAAAGCUCACACUUCAGUAAUCUAGCAUAAGUACUAUCACUCCCUCCUCCUCCUUCUUUAACAGGGGAACCAGACGACGGUGUAUCCAGAAGCCCGAAGGCGUGCAGCCUGGAAGCCGAUCGGCAAGUUAUAACCUAUGCGCCGCAAGUGGAGGACUUGGACGACGGGGACGAGAGGCUGGCGAUCUCCCGCGGGGAGGACACCGAGACGACUCGAAACGCAGGGGAGGAAGGAGAUGGAGAUUUCUUGGAGAUGGUUUCGAGGCGGAGGGAGGUCUGGUUCAUCCCAGCUGGGAGGUUGAGCCCGCUGCUCUUCCUUCACGAUGGCGUUUCCAUUUUAUCUACAACUGGUAAAUUUACAUAUAGAGAGACCAAAGUGAACUCUAGUUUGGCAGAGAUUGAUCAUCAUCGAAUGUGAGUCCGUCCCAGCGACCAAAGGCCUGUAUCCUUAACCGGCGCCUGUAACAGUAAUUAACAAAUCGUAACAUGUUAAUCUUAUGAAAAUUGUCAUCAUUAGCUUCAGAACAAAGUUUUUUCUUGUAUAUGCAAUCUUACAGGUGCUUUCAUGGAUGGGAAGACAUUCCAGAACCGCAGAGUUUCGUCUCCUGCUCCAGUUACUAUGGUCUGCAAAACAACACCCCAUAUAAUUUUAACAAAAAUGCACAAAAGUUUUCGAAUUUACGAAAUCGAACACAACCCAUAAUCCAAUUACCUGGCCAUCAGGCGACAUGGCGAGGUACAGAACCCGCAAACUGUGUCCAGUCAGAGUUGCAACCUAUACCCAGAAAAGAAAAUAUACACUUAACCAGACUACUAAAGAUAUUUAUGGCAGUGUUUGUUUAGGCAAGAAAAUCAGUUGAUCAGACCUUUGAUAAAGACGGAUACUUCCACACCAUAAUUUGGUUCUGGGAAUACCCAUGAGUGCUCACCAACUCAUUCACGUUCUUGCUCCACCCAAGAUUGCAUACCUGCAACCACCAAUACUCAUUUAGAACUGACAGAUUGAAAUUUCAGGCCACAAAAGUAGAAAUUAUAUCGAAGGGGACGAACCUGGCUACCGGUAUCGAUAUGGUUUAACUGGUGACCGCUGGUGGUGUUCCAGAAGCGAAUGCAUCUGUCUGCAGUUCCUCCUCCAGAUGCAAGGAGACCACUCUGGUGAGGUGACCAUGCAAUCGCCUUCACUGCAGCUGUGUGCUCUGUCAGCUUCAGAAUCGGCUGCUGCGAGUGCUGGUUCCAUACUAGGAGCUAAAGAAGUAGACAAGUUAAUGACCCAGUUUACUAUGUGCAUUCAGGAUAAAUAAUCAUUCUGAAUCGGAAUCGCAAGCUACCUGGUUGUCAUUUCCACCAGAUGCAAGCUCUCUGUCAUCAUGAGACCAUUUUAAGCCGCACACCUGCCAAAAAGAUGAAGUCCCAAAUCAGUAAAACUUAUUUCUAGUCCAUGAAACUGUGGAAUGUGUAGACCAAGUUGGAUAGAGCUAACGCACCUCAGAUUUAUGGCCAACAAGCUUGCUAACAUAGUCUCCGGGGACACGAAGAUCAUGCUGAAGUAUGUUCCUAUCCCUGCUUCCUGAUGCCAGAACCCGAGAAUUCCAUGCUAGAACACCAGUCCUAGUCUGAUGCCCACCCAUUGUCCUCACUCUCUUGCACUGAGUUCCAUCCCACACCUGUCAUUACACCAAAUUUCACAAAUUUUUACUCUUUUGAUAAUCUCAGCUACUGAAUAUCGAACUGAUCGCGAAUAUAACAAUGAAAGUACCUGUACUUGCCCAAAAUGGGUGCCAACUGAUAUAUAGGACCCUUCCUUGGUCCAUUGAACUGAACACACACUGUCAUUAGGUCCUAAAUCACACAACUUGGUCACCUAAUAACACAAAAACAAACAAUUUCUACUUCAAUUCUGAAAACCACACUACAAAUUUUACAGUUCAAGUCGGCUGAAGAUUCAUACAGUGGCAAAAUUAAGCUUACUUUGCUGUUUGAUGCGGACCAUAAAUAAACACAAGUUCCCAACCCAACUGCAAGAACGUUCUGAGAGGACCAAUCCACCACGUUCAGAUAGAAGUCAUCUUGCAAAGAUGGUGCAUCCAAAACCUGCAUCAACACAACUAAAAAAAUUCAAACCCUUAACCCCUAAAAAUAUCUCUAAAGUUACAAACUGAGACAAAUUGAAGUACUUUCCCCCUCACCUUGUGAGGAGUCUUGGGGACCUUUCUGGAAGGCUUAGGCGGCGUCGAACCUUCGUUACUACUUCCACUGUCCUGCCUCAGAAUCGACGGCGAGUACGGAGAAUUAGGCCCACCGGAAUGAUCCUUCUUAAAUCUAAGCAUAUUUGGACUUCCCAAACCACCUGCAGGGGAAGAAGAGGCGAAAUCAGAUCCGAAAAGCUCACACUUCAGUAAUCUAGCAUAAGUACUAUCACUCCCUCCUCCUCCUUCUUUAACAGGGGAACCAGACGACGGUGUAUCCAGAAGCCCGAAGGCGUGCAGCCUGGAAGCCGAUCGGCAAGGUAUGAACCGAUCGCCGCAAGUGGAGGACUUGGACGACGGGGACGAGAGGCUGGCGAUCUCCCGCGGGGAGGACACCGAGACGACUCGAAACGCAGGGGAGGAAGGAGAUGGAGAUUUCUUGGAGAUGGUUUCGAGGCGGAGGGAGGUCUGGUUCAUCCCAGCUGGGAGGUUGAGCCCGCUGCUCUUCCUUCUCGAUGGCGUUUCCAUUUUUGCUUUUUCUGAUUUGCGAUUAGGAGGAAGAAUCGAGAUUGAAUCGUGAGAAAAAUGGGAAGUGAUAUCGCCUCUCUGUGUGGAGAAGCAGAGAGGGAUUUCUUCUUCUUUCCGGUGGAAAUUUGCAGAGAAUGGCGUGGGAAAUGGAUUUUGCAACGGUCGAAUUUGGAGUGAAGAUGUAGGAAGGAGCGGGCGGGUCGGAUUU
Molecule: long non-coding RNA, 3115 nt
Filed under: Linum usitatissimum (flax)
Lineage: Eukaryota; Viridiplantae; Streptophyta; Magnoliopsida; Malpighiales; Linaceae
Description: long non-coding RNA (LUSI_LNC007975)
Source: RNAcentral